AACGAACGCUGGCGGCAUGCCUAACACAUGCAAGUCGAACGAGACCUUCGGGUCUAGUGGCGCACGGGUGCGUAACGCGUGGGAACCUGCCCUUAGGUUUGGAAUAACUCCCCGAAAGGGGUGCUAAUACCGGAUAAUGUCUUCGAACCCAAGGUUUAUCGCCUUUGGGUGGGCCCGCGUUGGAUUAACUUGUUGGGAGGGUAAAAUCCUACCAAGGCGACGAUCCGUAGCUGGUCUGCGAGGAUGGUCAGCCACACUGGGGCUGAGCCACGGCCCAGACUCCUGCGCGAGGCAGCAGUGGGGAAUAUAGGACAAUGGGCUAAAUCCUGAUCCACCACGGCCGCGUGAGUGAUGAAGGCCUUAGGGUUGUAAAGCUCUUUUACCCGGGAUGAUAAUGACGGUACCGGGAGAAUAAGCUCCGGCUAACUCCGUG
This 433-nucleotide ribosomal RNA is filed under the name uncultured bacterium. RNAcentral's name for it is "partial 16S ribosomal RNA". It matches the Rfam family "Bacterial small subunit ribosomal RNA", at positions 29 to 507 of the family's 1533-position model. The record is from RNAcentral.